RNAcentral lists this unclassified non-coding RNA (253 nucleotides) under uncultured Rhodospirillales bacterium. RNAcentral describes it as "contains 16S-23S intergenic spacer region". It matches the Rfam family "Bacterial small subunit ribosomal RNA", at positions 524 to 776 of the family's 1533-position model. Lineage: Bacteria; Pseudomonadati; Pseudomonadota; Alphaproteobacteria; Rhodospirillales. The record is from RNAcentral.
UACGGAGGGGGCUAGCGUUGUUCGGAAUUACUGGGCGUAAAGCGCGCGUAGGCGGUUUAUCAAGUCAGGCGUGAAAGCCCCGGGCUCAACCCGGGAACUGCGCUUGAUACUGGUUGACUAGAGGCCGGGAGAGGGUAGUGGAAUUCCCAGUGUAGAGGUGAAAUUCGUAGAUAUUGGGAAGAACACCGGUGGCGAAGGCGGCUACCUGGACCGGACCUGACGCUGAGGUGCGAAAGCGUGGGGAGCAAACAGG